Molecule: long non-coding RNA, 446 nt
Organism: Brassica oleracea var. oleracea
Lineage: Eukaryota; Viridiplantae; Streptophyta; Magnoliopsida; Brassicales; Brassicaceae
Exons: 3
Source: RefSeq, a predicted model, not a curated record
CCUGAAUGCCACAUCUGGGAGACAACUUUAUUUUGACAAGGAGACUAAUGCAGAGGAAACCUAUUUUACAAGCUGGUCUCUCAAGACACUGGGAACACAUCAUCAGCUUCACUGCUGAGGGGUUAAUCCAAGGUUGAGCAUGUGACCAUAGCUGAACUAAACGAGUUUAUCCUCACUCCCAGCCUCAGGUCACUGGAUUUAAUAUGGAUAAAGGCUGGUGCUAUGUCUCUUGCUCCAGAUGUACAAAGAAGCUUCAGCGGACGGUCUCAUCUUUUACUUGGCAACCUGCAGUAACACCAAUGCAGUUGGUUUCCUUCGAUAUGUUGGACCCUAAAAUGAGGUCCCAUAGACACAUCAGCAACUAACAUACAUUUUAAACAUUUUAUUUUAUGGAUCGUGUGGAAACAACUAGUGCUGAUGAGAUUGCUGAAAGUCUAUUUGUUGAU